AAACCAGUUUCACGUAUCCUUGUUCUUUCAUUUUCUAAACCCUAAACUGCCAUGAAGGAAAACAAAAUAUCAAGUUCUUCACAUCCCACCCAAAUCACUCUCGAAUUCUCCGAUUGUCUCUGAAAUCUGCACAACCGAACAAGGAAACCAAAACCAAUUUUGUUAUGCCGAUUUUUGCACCGAAACCAAAACAAUCAAUCCUCUUGUUAUCCCUGAAUUUCUGCCGAAAAUGAGGGAAGCCAAAAUCAAUUUGGCUUAUGUUUUAUUGUGCAACAAAAUACAAAAUCCUAAUUUGGUUGCUUCUGAUUCCUGCCGCAAGCUAAGGAGGCGACAUCAUCGAGGUACCUUUCUAGUUGAUAGCUGCGAAUCGAUCACGGCUCUUUGAAGCGUCUUGUUGUUUGUUUGCAGAUCGGUACCAGUCGGGAAGGAUGGGUUAGCGGAGGUGAUUAGAGGUUCUAAGGAUGUUUAUUGAGCUGAGCACGUAGGAAUUUGUAGAUUUGUAAUAGGAUUUUGGAUAAAUGUAUAUUAGUCUUGGUUGUGUCGGUUAUAUUGGAAUCUAAGUGAAUUGUAUGAUUACUUGUGUUUUAGUUAGAUGUUUGAUUUGAGAAUUAGCUGAGUUAGUUACGUUGAAAA
This is a long non-coding RNA of Amaranthus tricolor (Joseph's coat), 633 nucleotides long. RefSeq lists it as uncharacterized. NCBI's taxonomy places the organism in Eukaryota, Viridiplantae, Streptophyta, Magnoliopsida, Caryophyllales, Amaranthaceae. The transcript has 3 exons. The record is from RefSeq and is a predicted model, not a curated record.